This 211-nucleotide ribosomal RNA is filed under the name Ruminococcus flavefaciens. RNAcentral describes it as "partial 16S ribosomal RNA". It matches the Rfam family "Bacterial small subunit ribosomal RNA", at positions 19 to 225 of the family's 1533-position model. The record is from RNAcentral. Lineage: Bacteria; Bacillati; Bacillota; Clostridia; Eubacteriales; Oscillospiraceae.
CUGGCUCAGGACGAACGCUGGCGGCACGCUUAACACAUGCAAGUCGAACGGAGAUAAUUUGAGUUUACUUAGAUUAUCUUAGUGGCGGACGGGUGAGUAACACGUGAGCAACCUGCCUUUGAGAGAGGGAUAGCUUCUGGAAACGGAUGGUAAUACCUCAUAACGUAGUUUUACCGCAUGAUAGGACUACCAAAGAUUUAUCACUCAAAGA